RNAcentral lists this ribosomal RNA (360 nucleotides) under Triticum aestivum (bread wheat). Its description in RNAcentral is "partial small subunit ribosomal RNA". The record is from RNAcentral. Lineage: Eukaryota; Viridiplantae; Streptophyta; Magnoliopsida; Poales; Poaceae.
AUGGCCAAGCAUGCUAUAGACUACAACGUGUUUGGUGGGCCUCAACACUUUGGAAAGUGGAUGGACGUGCACUCAGCUCUGUCUUGUCCUGCUGAGGCGAGGGCACCUGUUGAGCAACUAAUUGGGCAGUUUGCAUCCAGAAUGACCAGCUUGCUAGGGAAGUUGGUUGAGGGUUGGACGUCCCUUAAUGGCUCUGACAGCGACGCGGUUGCGAGCUCCCAGGAGCUUCCUGACACGCAAGACGAACUAGAUGGAGAUGCUGGUCUCGACAAGGACGAUGAUGAUGACAUGGAGAACGUGCAACAUGAAACCGACGAGGAUGAACAUGUUGAAGUUCGUGCAGGUGGUAAGAAGGACUAG